Molecule: ribosomal RNA, 749 nt
Filed under: bacterium EAB-2EM43.04
Lineage: Bacteria
Description: bacterial SSU rRNA
Rfam family: Bacterial small subunit ribosomal RNA
Source: RNAcentral
CGUCAGGAUGAACGCUGGCGGCGUGCUUAMUACAUGCAAGUCGAGCGAACUGAUUAGAAGCUUGCUUCUAUGACGUUAGCGGCGGACGGGUGAGUAACACGUGGGCAACCUGCCUGUAAGACUGGGAUAACUUCGGGAAACCGAAGCUAAUACCGGAUAGGAUCUUCUCCUUCAUGGGAGAUGAUUGAAAGAUGGUUUCGGCUAUCACUUACAGAUGGGCCCGCGGUGCAUUAGCUAGUUGGUGAGGUAACGGCUCACCAAGGCAACGAUGCAUAGCCGACCUGAGAGGGUGAUCGGCCACACUGGGACUGAGACACGGCCCAGACUCCUACGGGAGGCAGCAGUAGGGAAUCUUCCGCAAUGGACGAAAGUCUGACGGAGCAACGCCGCGUGAGUGAUGAAGGCUUUCGGGUCGUAAAACUCUGUUGUUAGGGAAGAACAAGUACGAGAGUAACUGCUCGUACCUUGACGGUACCUAACCAGAAAGCCACGGCUAACUACGUGCCAGCAGCCGCGGUAAUACGUAGGUGGCAAGCGUUAUCCGGAAUUAUUGGGCGUAAAGCGCGCGCAGGCGGUUUCUUAAGUCUGAUGUGAAAGCCCACGGCUCGACCGUGGAGGGUCAUUGGDKAACUGGGGWKACUUGAGUGCAGWAAGAGAKDAAGCGGDAAUUUCCACGUGUAGCGGUGAAAAUGCGUAGAAGAAUGUGRAGGRAACCACCCAGUGGCGAAGGGCGGCUUUUUGUUCUUGAC